RNAcentral lists this ribosomal RNA (1315 nucleotides) under uncultured bacterium. RNAcentral's name for it is "bacterial SSU rRNA". It matches the Rfam family "Bacterial small subunit ribosomal RNA", at positions 27 to 1381 of the family's 1533-position model. The record is from RNAcentral.
GGACGAACGCUGGCGGCAGGCCUAACACAUGCAAGUCGAACGAGAAAGGGGCUUCGGCCCUGAGUAGAGUGGCGCACGGGUGAGUAACGCGUGGGAACGUACCCUUCAGUAAGGAAUAACAGCGGGAAACUGCUGCUAAUACCUUAUAUUCCCUCCGGGGGAAAGAUUUAUCGCUGAAGGAUCGGCCCGCGUUAGAUUAGCUAGUUGGUGAGGUAAUGGCUCGCCAAGGCUACGAUCUAUAGCUGGUCUGAGAGGACGACCAGCCACACUGGAACUGAGACACGGUCCAGACUCCUACGGGAGGCAGCAGUGGGGAAUCUUGGACAAUGGGCGCAAGCCUGAUCCAGCCACGCCGCGUGAGUGAAGAAGGUCUUCGGAUCGUAAAACUCUGUCCUUGGUGAAGAUAAUGACGGUAACCAAGGAGGAAGCCCCGGCUAACUACGUGCCAGCAGCCGCGGUAAUACGUAGGGGGCUAGCGUUGUCCGGAUUUACUGGGCGUAAAGGGUGAGUAGGCGGUUAUGUAUGUCAGAUGUAAAAGGCGCGGGCUUAACUUGCGUUAGCAUUUGAAACUGCAUAACUUGAGUGCAGGAGAGGUAAGCGGAAUUCCUAGUGUAGCGGUGAAAUGCGUAGAUAUUAGGAGGAACACCGGUGGCGAAGGCGGCUUACUGGACUGUAACUGACGCUGAGUCACGAAAGCGUGGGUAGCAAACAGGAUUAGAUACCCUGGUAGUCCACGCUGUAAACGAUGAGUGCUAGGUGUUGGGUAGCGAUACUCAGUGCCGGAGUAAACACAAUAAGCACUCCGCCUGGGGAGUACGGUCGCAAGACUGAAACUCAAAGGAAUUGACGGGGACCCGCACAAGCAGCGGAGCAUGUGGUUUAAUUCGAAGCAACGCGAAGAACCUUACCAAGGCUUGACAUCCCCUUGACAGAUGCAGAGAUGUGUCCUCUCCUUCGGGAGCAAGGGAGACAGGUGGUGCAUGGUUGUCGUCAGCUCGUGUCGUGAGAUGUUGGGUUAAGUCCCGCAACGAGCGCAACCCUUAUCCUUAGUUGCCAGCAAUAAGAUGGGCACUCUAAGGAGACUGCCGGUGAUAAACCGGAGGAAGGUGGGGAUGACGUCAAAUCAUCAUGCCCCUUAUGUCUUGGGCUACACACGUGCUACAAUGGUCGGUACAACGGGCAGCGAAGGAGCGAUCCCAAGCAAAUCCCAAUAAACCGAUCCCAGUUCGGAUUGCAGGCUGCAACUCGCCUGCAUGAAGUCGGAGUUGCUAGUAAUCGCGAAUCAGAACGUCGCGGUGAAUGCGUUCCCGGGUCU